UGAAGGCGGAGAUGUGUGAGGCGUCAACUACAUUUCCCAGAAGGCCGCAGAGCGGGGCGGGGUGGGGAUCAGAGCUUGCAGACUGCCAGCGCCAGGGAUUUCGGGGCGAGAGGCAUGACUCUCCGUAGGGGUCUUAGUCCAAGGUGAACUUUAAUCUUUUAAGUAUGCGGGGGAAAUGGAAGAUGACGCGCGGCUCCCUAGUAAGGAUAACCUCAAACACGCAGUAUCACGUUGGUUCAGGAAUCCCUUGCUCACCGCGACUGACAUCUGGCGAGGCGAUGGACGAGGAAACGGGAGGUAACAGAUUGGAACGUUCAGCCUACGCGCAAGUUCUGCAGGAGGGAAUCUAACGCAGCCACCGAAAGCAAAUUCAUUAACCAUGUGAUGCCCAUCCACCCACCCACCCACCAGCAACAGCUGGCAGAAAGAGCCAUUUUUAUCCCCAGAGCAAGGCGUUUAAGAAUUUAUCAUUUUCCCCAAUAUAAAUUCAGAGUUAUUUUUCAUGUUACAACCUAAUGUGGGUCUUCUCUUCCUUGGUUAUAAAUAAGUUGCAUUUAGGCUACAUAUGCAUAAUCCACUCUUUUAAUUGACUGAAUUAUUUCCCAUGUUUGGGAGGCUUUGAGCUCUCUUUUCCUUUACACGGUGCUGGCCGUAGAGACUGAGUCUCCUCGGGCACAAUUUGGCCUGCCCAGAGGUCUUCUAAUUUCAGGGCAGAAGUAUCCAUAGAUAGAUGCUAUCAUGUGCCAACAAUUUCCAGGCCGGUCCUGGAGGGAGUGGCUAUUUUUGUUUUGUUUUGUUUUUGUUUUAUACAAAAUCUAGAUAGACCAUUUACAUUUGGCAAUGCUAAAGCAAUGGUGGUGAAACAAGAAAAUCACUGCCAAAUGAGAACUUGUGACAAAGUCAAAUUAUUAAUAAAUACACUGUGGGCACUGGCACAUGAAAUAUAUCUAAGAGAAUGAGGCUGUCUUCGGAGACCAAGGCAACAAAGGCCAAACUCCUAGAAAGAGACUAGAUAAGGGAAUGUAGCAGGACACAGAGACAAAACUCAAAGAACAAGGAUAACAAGAGACAGAUGAGGAAUCCUCCAAGCAGGAGGAAGAUGGGGACCUGCACUCUUGUGGACCAGGGAAAGAGUGAAGCCCUCAAGUAGAAACUGUCCUAGAGUAGGCCCGAAGGACCCAUGAUGUACACCUGUGCUGACCAGGAUGGUAGCCACUCACCACAAGAGGCCAUUUAAAUCUAACUCAAAUAAUAUGAAAUCAAAUGUAAAAUUUUGUUUCUCAGUCACUCUAACCACAUUUCAACUGCUCAAUUGGAAUGCACAAAUACAGAUCAUUUCGAUUUAUUGCACACAGUUGGCAUUGCUGGUCUAGACAUGUCUUGCCUCUCAGCAGCUCUGGACACUUGGAAGAAGAGACUUCAGACAGUUUCUUAGAAGAUGGAGCAAGAAAGGAGGAGUCUGCAUACUUUGCCAGGCAGAACAAAACACAACCUGCAGGCCUCAGGGAAGACUCAUGGGCAUUCAGACUGAAUGAACACACUGGAAGUUAAACUGGAAUGUUGAGUGUCCAACUAUUCACCCUGAGAGGUGCUCUGCAAAGGCAAGGCUGAAGCCAUUUAAGAAUAGCCAGCUGUUAGAGAGGCAGGAUCGGAAAAUGGUCUGUGUGAAAAACAAGAUGAGGUAACUAAGACUCAGAAGGUGAAGCAGCUGCCAAGCAACUGUGGAAAGGCAGCUCCAUGUCUGACUCUGCUGUGCAGCUCUCCUACUCUUCAUGGCAGCCCCUGGCCCCACAGCGACACCAGAACGGACCAGCCUGGAGAUCUAGACUCAGUGGGAAUGGUCUACCUAGCUACCUGUCCUGGAACAUACACAGCAUCCUGGGUCAUGGAGUCUCACCUGCUAGAUGACCUCCCGGUCCCUUCCCGCUUUGGGGAGCAAUAGCACCCUGCUUCAGGUUUCCAAUCAGAAGCAAAUCAUGAUGAGCAAUGGUUUUGACCAGACUGGGUGCAGCAGCAAGUGAGAAGGUGGCCUGGGCCCAUGCAGGUGGGAGAUGCUGCGUUGCAGUCCUCAACGUUCUCAUACUUGCACCCAUGUAACUCUGGACAAGGGCAGUUUUUUCUUUCUCAGUGCCCUGGGGGCCAGUCAUGGAAAGGGACAAAAGGGCAGCCAAAUCUGUCCCAUAGGAAGCUCUGUGCUUAUUCCUCCACACCCUUCAUCCAUCCAUCCAUCCAUCCAUCCGUCUAACCAAAUGGCUUUAUUGAGGUAUAAUUGACUAUAAUAAACUGCACAAUGUGAUGAGCUUUGAUGUGUGUCACCUGUGAGAUCACCACUCUACUCCAUAAAAUGAACGCAUCUGUCACCCAAAGUUUCCUCAUGUGCCUUUGCAUUUCCUCCCACCCACCCACCCUUAUUUCAUGGACAUACACAGACCAUAUUUCUUAUAA
This is a long non-coding RNA of Mustela lutreola (European mink), 2445 nucleotides long. RefSeq lists it as uncharacterized. NCBI's taxonomy places the organism in Eukaryota, Metazoa, Chordata, Mammalia, Carnivora, Mustelidae. The transcript has 4 exons. The record is from RefSeq and is a predicted model, not a curated record.